This 435-nucleotide small RNA is filed under the name Desulforamulus ruminis DSM 2154. RNAcentral describes it as "Desulfotomaculum ruminis DSM 2154 cspA thermoregulator". It matches the Rfam family "cspA thermoregulator". The record is from Rfam by way of RNAcentral. Lineage: Bacteria; Bacillati; Bacillota; Clostridia; Eubacteriales; Peptococcaceae.
GAUGGGUUAUUAACAGACUUAUCCACAUUGUCCACAGGAAAACGGCUUUCAACAAGGAAUUUUUCGACAAGACAUUGUUGCCCUUCCGAAUCAGGAAACACUUGACAGAAAAGAAUCCGAGUGUUAAUAUAACAGCACUGUGAGUUCUUAUGGACUCUGGGAAAGUAUUUUGAAAGUGAGGAAUGUAGAUGCUCGGCAAGGUUAAGUGGUUCAAUGCAGAAAAGGGUUAUGGUUUUAUUGAAAGAGAAGAAGGCGGCGAUGUUUUCGUUCACUUCUCUGCCAUUCAGGAAGAAGGUUUCAAAAGCCUGGCGGAAGGUCAGGAAGUUGAAUUCGACAUCGUUGAAGGUGCCCGUGGUCCUCAGGCUGCUAACGUUGUAAAACGUUAAUUAUAUUGAUCAAACCACAAGCCCUGGUCUUAUGGACCGGGGUUUUAAA